Molecule: long non-coding RNA, 2057 nt
Filed under: Oryzias sinensis (Chinese medaka)
Lineage: Eukaryota; Metazoa; Chordata; Actinopteri; Beloniformes; Adrianichthyidae
Description: lncRNA (ENSOSIG00000022507.1)
Source: RNAcentral
CUAUAGCUAUAUAUAGAUAUUUAUAUAAAUAACUGUCAUUAAUUUGAAUGAAUUUAAAUUUCUUUGUUUUUUCUUUUCUUUCAUUUUUUGUUCUCAAGCAACUCGUUUUGAGGCAACCCGUAAAAUUAACUUGCUGCUGAAGACUGAUGAACCUCUAGAACUGACCAAGAGGAAAUCGGUCCUGCCUCAAAAAUAUCAAGAUGAGUCAGAUAACUCGACCAUCACUGACAGUCAGAUUCUUACUCAGUGGUUACAUGUCAAGGUGAUAUCAAGUUAUAUGGAGCUCUUUUGUAAUAUUUCUCAAUGAAUGUUACAUCAAAUUGUGGAAGUGAUUUUUAGUUCUGAUUUGCAGUUAUAGACUGCAAUGUUUAGCUUUAAAAUAUAAACCAUCAUUUGUAGUUCUUGUUACUGAACCUGUUGUUUUUGCAGUUGAGCUACUAAACUGAAACAUCAGUUGUUUUUUUCUUUUUCUGUAUUAAUGAUUUGAUUUUUCUCUCUCUGGACACCCAGAAGUCAAAGGUACAGAAAAGAAAAGACCCUGCUGAAGACUUUCUUGAGAUGUACUGUCAUCCAAAAACAAGUUCAAGGGAUAGAAAUCCAGAAAAGACAGUAUCUGAAUUAAUGCAGGAGAUCAAGGAGCUGAAAGAGGAGAACGCUAACUUGAAGGAGAUGGUUGUUCAAGAUAUACCAGAACUCAUGAACACCAUGAAAAAUGUAAUUAAGUCGGUUGUACCUACUAAGCGAUCCAGGCUUGAGCUUAAUACACCACCGAUGCCCCCCCAGAGUUUUAGUUCCUCAGCACCGUCCCACCCUGGAGCUACAGAAUCCAGUUCCGUGUCUGACACUGUGACUCCAUCCCAGAAGGACUCGCAGUCUUCUAAGGUGGAGAUCUACCCUGGAACUGGAGUCCUGGUGGAGAAACUGGCGUGGACGUACGCUUUAAAUUCACAUUCAGCCACUGGAUUUGUGAGACAUCUAGUCACAGCAGUCUUCCCACCAGAGAUACUGCUGGUGAGCAAUCUUCGCGGGGGCAAACGAGGUGGAGGCGAUGCUCGUCUACCAUUGGACAAGCAUAAAUUGGAUGCCAUUUACAGUAUGUUUUCAGCUUUUUAUUUAUUUGUGUGUGUGUGUGUGUGCAACAUUUUAGUCUUCAUUUACCAUAAUGACAGUCUACCACCAUUGGUUGUACGACUGGUACCAAGAGAAUCUGGCACUAUUUGACAUCAACAUUAUGAAAUGAUUCUUCCUAUUUUUAUUGGUCUCUGUGACAUUACAAAGUACACUAAGUUCUCAUCUGUGUGUGCAUAUGUGUUUGUGUGUGUGUUCAUAUGCAGGUGCAACUCUUGAGAGGUGGCCAGGGACACAGAUCGCCAGCAUCGGAACCACAAUAAAUGGCAAGAUUACAGAACUCCGGGCGAAAAGUAAAAAUGUUGCCGUGCCAUAAGUUGUCAUGGUUACGCUUUGGGUUGGUUCUUAAGGUUGUUUCCUUUUUUAUUUUUAAGGCCCUUCCUUGUUUGUUUAGUUUAGUUUGACUUCCCUCGUCCCAAUCUUUCCUGAUCAUUGGCACCUAUGUCUCGUCAGCCCCGUUAGUAUAUAUGUCUUGUCACUCCCUUCCUCUUGUGCUGAUCCGUACUGUUAGUUCCCCCCUUCAAGUGGUUUUGGUUCUAUUGUCAAGCUUAGAUAAGUCUGUUCUCAGUUUAUGUUACUCUUUUGGUAUUUGGAUUCCCUGUGGUACAGCGUCCUUUGUUAAAUAAAUAGAUUUUGUUUUUUCGAACUCCUGCUGCUUCCUGUCCUGCAUUUGUGUCCUCUACCAACCCUAAACGUUACAGGAUUGUUCCUUAUUUAAAUUUAGUUUUUAGUGUUAUAGACAUUGAAGAACUGUAUUUAUGUGAAGGGAAGGGAAUUGUAAUAGCUGAAAUUAGUUUUAAGUGAUGUGCCUGUUUGUAGUUGCAAUUUGUAAGGCAAUUUCAGUGUCCAUAUACCGUAAUUUCAAAUGAAGUCAUGCCACUUCAACAUGUGCUUUAUAUAAGUUUAACAAUUAACACUUGACAUUAUAC